RNAcentral lists this ribosomal RNA (343 nucleotides) under uncultured bacterium. RNAcentral's name for it is "bacterial SSU rRNA". It matches the Rfam family "Bacterial small subunit ribosomal RNA", at positions 8 to 334 of the family's 1533-position model. The record is from RNAcentral.
AGGGUUUGAUUCUGGCUCAGGAUGAACGCUGGCGGCGUGCUUAACACAUGCAAGUCGAACGGGAAUCACUUCAUUGAGACUUCGGUGGAUUUGAUUUGAUUCUAGUGGCGGACGGGUGAGUAACGCGUGGGUAACCUGCCUUAUACAGGGGGAUAACAGUCAGAAAUGACUGCUAAUACCGCAUAAGCGCACAGGACCGCAUGGUCCGGUGUGAAAAACUCCGGUGGUAUAAGAUGGACCCGCGUUGGAUUAGCUUGUUGGUGGGGUAACGGCCCACCAAGGCGACGAUCCAUAGCCGGCCUGAGAGGGUGAACGGCCACAUUGGGACUGAGACACGGCCCAG